This 301-nucleotide ribosomal RNA is filed under the name uncultured bacterium. RNAcentral describes it as "partial 16S ribosomal RNA". It matches the Rfam family "Bacterial small subunit ribosomal RNA", at positions 509 to 807 of the family's 1533-position model. The record is from RNAcentral.
CAGCAGCCGCGGUAAUACGUAUGUCGCAAGCGUUAUCCGGAAUUAUUGGGCAUAAAGGGCAUCUAGGCGGCCAGACAAGUCUGGGGCGAAAACUUGCGGCUCAACCGCAAGCCUGCCCUGGAAACUGUUUGGCUAGAGUGCUGGAGAGGUGGACGGAACUGCACGAGUAGAGGUGAAAUUCGUAGGUAUGUGCAGGAAUGCCGAUGAUGAAGAUAGUUCACUGGACGGCAACUGACGCUGAAGUGCGAAAGCUAGGGGAGCGAACAGGAUUAGAUACCCCUGUAGUCCCUGUCUCUUAUAC